ACACAUGCCUUUGAUGGUCUUAACCACCUAAUUAGAAGUUUCUAUACAAUAUAUCCUACUGUUCCAUUUUAAUGGCUACUUUUGGAUUUUACUCACCUUAAGUGUCUGUUCACUUUUUUUGUUCUUUUGUGACCCAAACACAUCUUGUGUCCGCAAGAAAUUGAUUUCUCUGAAAAACUCAAUUUUCUAAAAACCUUGUGAAGAUGAUAAAACUACACCUCAUGUAGAUUUUCUUUUUAAAUAAAAAAAACAUAUUCUAAUUGACACUAUAUAUAAAAUUCAGGUUGCUUUAGUUAUAAUACCUGCCAAAUAACAUAGGUAUCUUUUGCAGUAAAGAGAAAUGCUAGGUAAUGCUCUCUCGCACUCAGGUUAUUAUGACAUGUUUUGAAGCUGUGUAUGAACCCCCAUCCUGAGAGGACCAGCAACCUAACUGCACAAAAGUAUCUCCUGAAAUAGCUUAUUUCAUAAAACUCUUAUCUUUUAUUUUAUGUCUUGGUAACUCAAGGGAGGCUGCCUUAAUUGUUUAUAUAAAAGAAAAAGUGAUAGGUUGUAAAGUGCUUUCGUGAAAUUGUAGACAUUAGACAAAAAAAAUCAGGGUGUGAACAAACCUGCAUGUUUUGAACCUCUACCCUAUCUCAGGCGCUCUUCUAGAAUAAAUACUUGGGACAUGUCAAAUCUAACAGCUCUGGGCCUGGACACACUUGAAUUUAGAUCUCAGUUCUAUCACUUUCAAAUUGUGUGGUCUGAGGCACAAAAUGCCACCUCCUUGUAGCUCCAGUUUUGGUAGUCAGAAUAACCUUAUAGGGUUGUUCUGAAGAGUUAAAGAGGGAUAUAAAUCAUUUAUCACUGGAGGACACAGGUUAGAGCCACGUAAGAAAUGGUAGCCAUUAUUACCUUUCUCAAUCCUCACAAUAACCAGGAAGAUAGUAGUCAUUAUCACCCUUUGUUGAUUAGGAGGAGACUGAAGUUCAGGUAGGCUAAGUAAAGCUCCCAAGCUUGCAUCAGUGGUGAGACAGCUGGAACGCAUUUUGAAUCCAAAGUAAAUUCUUUUUGUGUGCUGUUUAGAAACAUUCCAUAUUCAGGGAGCACCCUCCUUUAGAUUACUCAAAUUUGUGAUUAUGCCCUAUUCAGAUGGAAAAGCGGGUGAAACAAACAAGGGUAGGUUCGGUGCUUUCUGUAGUAAGUCCAUAAACUGGAUAUUGAUCACCCUGCAACUGUCCCGUAAAGUACUGCAACUAUGUUUUAAAGGGCUGAUCUCCAUAUCUUGUCUCUGAACACCUUGUGGACAUUUAUCUUUGUAUCCCUGACACCUAACUCAGUGUUUGGUAUUUAGUAGGUGCUCAAGAAAUGUCCACAGGAUAAAUGAAAUUACUGUGACGGCAUGGGUAUACAGGCCAGGGAAGGUGCUUGUAACAUAGAAGGCUAUCUAUCAUAAAUCUUGCCUUCUCUCCUUCCAGUUGAGGUCCCCCUGCUGAAGAGAAGACUUCUUUCAUUGGCCCCGAUGGAAACCCUGCCUGCUCAUUCUGAUGCUGUUGUGAUCUCUUAUUUUCCAUACAAGUGGAAAUAAAGGGCCUGCAGUAAUUUAUUGAAUAUCUACUACUGUGAAAAUGAAUAAAGGAAUCCUCAUUCAAAAUGGAGUGAGGAAUCCAUGAAGGGAGAGUUCUCAUACACCACGACUCAUCACCGUCUGCAUACCCAGCAGAAAGAAGAAAGAUUUCCUCUCAGGCUGGCAACAGCAAGCUGCCCAGACCUGCAGUCAAUGAGAAGCUGCCACCACUUCAAACUCUUUUCCCCCAUAAAAAGAUGCUCUCCCACUCUGUUAUCUAGACUUGGUUAUUGUUCACCACAGUUUGCAUGUCCCAAACUGCAAUUCCUUUACAAUUCCCAAAUAAACUCAUUUGCUGCUCA
Leopardus geoffroyi (Geoffroy's cat) is the source of this 1908-nucleotide long non-coding RNA. RefSeq lists it as uncharacterized. The record is from RefSeq and is a predicted model, not a curated record. Lineage: Eukaryota; Metazoa; Chordata; Mammalia; Carnivora; Felidae. The transcript is spliced from 2 exons.